Molecule: long non-coding RNA, 1132 nt
Organism: Ornithorhynchus anatinus (platypus)
Lineage: Eukaryota; Metazoa; Chordata; Mammalia; Monotremata; Ornithorhynchidae
Exons: 5
Source: RefSeq, a predicted model, not a curated record
CUAGGCAGGGGGCUGCUCUAGUUGGCUGGGGCAAAGGGAAGGCCUCCCUCACGGCAUUGGCGGGUGGGGUGUGCUUCCUCUGCAGCGUCCUGGCUCUAGGCCACGUGAGGAACCAGAAGUUAAUGGGACCAGUGUUGGCUGCGGACAGAAGGCCAGGGGGUUUCCUGCCUGCUCAGAGGGUCUCCUGGAGAAUCGCUCGGAGGCUCACCAGGCUGUCAGCGCUCAUCAGGUUCCUGGACCGUCGCCAGCCUGUUCUGGGACCGAAGCUGGUCACUUCUCUUCCCCAACAUUUCCAGAGGCGGUCUGCAUCGGAUCAGCUGGGAUGAGGUAACUGAAGCCCAGUGAAGUGAAUUGCCCACAGCCACACAGCAGGAGAGCCAAAAUGGAAGACUGCUGGGAGCUCAGAAGGGGAUGUGCUGGAGCUGCUGACCUUUCGCUGACCACUCCCUGGACACCAAGACUCAAUCAACCAGCCCCCGUGGAUCCCGGCUGCCCCCUACCCCAUUGCCCAAGACUGCUUUCUUUUGAGGUGGCCUCUCUCAGGGACUCCAGCCUUCUGGCUCUUGGUUGGCUCCUCCAGGAUGUGAUGGGACUUGGGCUGAGUGGACGUGUGAGUGUCACCGGGGACUUAGGGUGGGGCGAGAGGCAGUAUAUGUGAGGAGGGGGCUUCCCUUUUCUUGGCGGGGAGAUGCUAGACUCAGGGCCGGGGGCCUUGGGCAGGGGCUCUGCUUGUUUAUGACCCGACUUUGGAGUUGGGAAGAGGCCUGGGGCCCUCAAUUCUAUAGACAGGCCUAACUCCCCUCCACGGCCCGGUCAGCAGAGACCCCCACCCUUCUCCUGCCCCCUGAGUCUAUCAUCUCCCCAUCAAGCUUUGAGGGAGCCCCCGGGGAAGGGGCGGGGAUCCAGUGCCAGGGCUAGAGCAGAGGUAGCUGUCACUGAGGGUGUGUGAUCAAAUGAUCUCUCCUGGAGGAGCGGGGGGGAGAAUGUAACUAACGUGGGAGCGCCCCUCUUCCACCCCCAAUCAGAGAGGGGCAUGAAGAAGAGGCCUUCAAAAGAAAUCACAUUGUCUGCCCUUCCUCCCACUUAGCUUGGCUUUGUAUGUGACGGUUGGAAAUAAAAUAUUUGUUAUUUA